Non-coding RNA from Tinamus guttatus (white-throated tinamou), 233 nucleotides. Lineage: Eukaryota; Metazoa; Chordata; Aves; Tinamiformes; Tinamidae. The record is from the annotation of a RefSeq genome assembly.
ACUUACAGCUCCGACUCCUCCUAUAUUUAUGUGGCCUGGUAUCGGCAGCGUCCCGGCAGGGCCCUGCAGUACAUUGUGCAGAGCAAGGGCCGGGGAGGCUCAUACAGCCACUCAGCUCCUCUGGCCCACAAGAGGUUUUCUGGGCGGGCUGAUGAGAGCUCGGGCACCUUGAGCAUCGCGGCGCUGGAAGAGGCCGACAGUGCGCUCUAUUACUGCAGCCUGCAGGGAGCACG